RNAcentral lists this ribosomal RNA (491 nucleotides) under uncultured bacterium. RNAcentral's name for it is "partial 16S ribosomal RNA". It matches the Rfam family "Bacterial small subunit ribosomal RNA", at positions 29 to 507 of the family's 1533-position model. The record is from RNAcentral.
AGUGAACGCUGGCGGUAGGCCUAACACAUGCAAGUCGAACGGCAGCACAGUAAGAGCUUGCUCUUACGGGUGGCGAGUGGCGGACGGGUGAGGAAUACAUCGGAAUCUACUUUUUCGUGGGGGAUAAUGUAGGGAAACUUACGCUAAUACCGCAUACGACCUACGGGUGAAAGCAGGGGAUCUUCGGACCUUGCGCGAUUGUAUGAGCCGAUGUCGGAUUAGCUAGUUGGCGGGGUAAAGGCCCACCAAGGCGACGAUCCGUAGCUGGUCUGAGAGGAGGAUCAGCCACACGGAAACUGAGACACGGUCAGACUCCUACGGGAGGCAGCAGUGGGGAAUAUUGGACAAUGGGCGCAAGCCUGAUCCAGCCAUGCCGCGUGAGUGAAGAAGGCCUUCGGGUUGUAAAGCCCUUUUAUUGGGAAAGAAAAGCAGCAGGUUAAUACCCCGCUGUUCUGACGGUACCCAAAGAAUAAGCACCGGCUAACUUCGUG